UAAUACUUGAGCCCUCGAAUUUUAUUUUCGGUGGUGCUCAAGGUCCUGCUUCUAUCUCCUAGCUGCGGGUGGCCCUGCACCACUUUGCCUUGGCAUCUCCCGAGGGAGGGAGCACUUGCCCUUGGAGAAGAUGAGUGAAUCCAGGGAGUCGUGGACAUUAGAGGGUGUCCACCAAAGAAAGAAGGUGGUCUGAAAGAAAAACUAAAACACUGUGCAGUGUGGGGGGCUUAAAUGUGAAGUUAUUAUUUCUCUCCUGCACUUGGUGUGACCUCCAGAUUCCCAGCUGCCACAUGUCUGUCUGCCUGACAGGACCCCUUCACCCCCUGCAAGGAUGUGUAACUGGAGGAGAAAAGCAUGAAGGUGAGCAGUUCUGUGUCAGUGACUCUGGCUCAACCCUUGUGUGGUAAGGAGAGGACACAACUGUCCUCCAGGGUCUCUGGGGUGUGGCUGGCUGAUGUUGGCACUCAGGCUUCUGAAGGUCAACUUCCUCCACAGGUGGCAAGCUUGGCCAGAGGAACCUGUGCACUCUGGAGGUGCAGGACAGAGUCACACUGGAACUGCUUGGCUUCCUACCCGAGCUCACAGCUUCUGUCCACUGGUGGGCACUGACCAGCAAUGAACCACCUGGGGCUGCAUCUCCUUUGUGUCUGCAGAUCAGGGCAUGCUGACCCCUUCUGAGCUGUCCCCUGCUUGCUAUCUCUCCUCCCAUCUACCCAGGACCUCUACCACUGUCCAUUGCAUGCCCUGAGGUCCAUCCCAGGGUCAGAUUUGGAAGGAACUUCCCCAUGUCCCGGGAGCCCGUGGGUAAGUGUGCACAGGGUCCCUAGGGCAGGACAGGGAUAUGUGCGAUGCCACUUUAACCACUACCGAGGAUAAAAAGAUGGUCACUGCAGUGUCUACCUGGCACAGGCACAGGACCUUGCAGGGGGAGAUCAGGAAAGGCACUUUCAAAGCCCAGAAGUGCUGGCAGAGCUGCAGAGAGUUAUUCUUGACUUAGGACAGGGGACACGCAUAGCUCCCCAACUCCCCUGGAAGGCUAACUUUUUCCCUGUGACUCUAGCCGAGCUCAUCACUAACCAUCUCCUGUGCCUGGAUCUGUUAGUUGCUCAAGUUCUGACUUCCCAAGACUACAGCAGAACCCAUAAAAGAACAUGCCAUGGAUGUGAGCAGCUGCUCAGGGUGAAAGCACCUGGGGUCAGAAGGUGACCUGGGUGCUUACCAACUUUGUGUGCACAUGCAGGUGGGAGAGGGCACAUGUGUGUGCAUACUGACGUGUGAGAAAGAAAGACUCAGUCUGGCAAGUUACUUAGAUAAACCUGCAUAACUGGGAUGAUCAUGGCUGCCUCGUGGGGGGUCCACUGAAGGUUACAUGGCCCCUGUGUAAGCUGCUUGGUGAGGAGCCCAGUGUUAGCUUUCCAAACACACUAGCCCUUAUCACUCAUCAAACACCUGCUGGCAUUCAUCAUCUGUCCAACAUGGAGGGUACUCCUCUGCGAAUUCACCCUGGUGGGGACAUAAGGAACUUUUCUACUGUUGCCAGAGGCUGGGGACCUUCCAGGAGGCUCCCGGUGUGGGGUAUGGUUCUCAGCCCCUGUAGUGGCCAAGGGAGACCAUAGCCACUGAGCAUUCCCAAGAGGGGCAGAAAGGAUAGAGCACAGGGUGCCUGCCAGGCCUUUGCUCAGGGACAGCAAGGGGUGGCUUUGCCCUGAAUCUUGUGGUGAUAGCAACAGUGAAGCAAUUACUUACUCUGGCUGUGCCACAAUCAUCUUUACAGCAAGAGAAUUUUUCCAGGGAAGGAGGGAAUGUCAGAAAUUUACUGCAGGGAGCUGCUCCUUGGAUGCCUGUACCAGAGAAAAAAGGACAAAACACUUAGGGAAAUUAGAAGCCAUUUAGAAAAUAAAUCCCCAGGGGCUGUUCUGAAUAUCAAUCUGUGAGAAGGACAGCUCUGUCUCUGCUACACUUUACUGCUGUCCCUGUGGCCACCAGCCAGGUCCAUUUCUCCAGGGUGUUCAGUCCUGGCUCUGGUGGUCACAAUACAUGCCUCGUAGAGGUGGAUUUGGACUCCACAGAAAACACCCACCUGCAGAUCCGUGGGCAGCAAGAGGCUCUGUGCCCUCCAUGUGCAUUUGGCAAGUACGCGAUGCCACUUUAACCACUAUGAAGGAUAAAAAGAUGGUCACUGCGCAGUGUCUACCUGACACAGGCAUAGGACCCUGCAGGGGGAGAUCAGGAGAGGCACUUUCAAAGCCCAGAAGUGCUGGUGGAACUGCAGAGAGCUAUUCCUGACUCAGGACAGGGGACAUGCAUAGCUCUCCAACUCCCCUGGAAGUCACUGUGGUCUCUCUGCAGCCAGCUGCUGCCAAGAAACUGAAGUAGCCCCUGGAGGAGAUCCCUUAUCUCCCUGAGAACUUUGUCCUCAAGUAUUUGAUUUAAAAACUUUAAAGCUGCAUCCUGGGGUGAAUGUGGCUGAGGCUCUGGAGCCCAGGGCCCACAAGACCCAGAGCCCAGAGCCACUAAAGCAAGGACUGUGCCCCCAGAGACCAUGGGUUUUAUCAUGUUUUCAUUUUACUUUGUGUCUUGUUUAAAACCUCUUCUGUCUGUAACUUCAUGAAGAGAUGAGGCUGAAUCCAGAGGCUCACUGUGGUGUCCACACUGGCACGGGAGGCUCCUUCUUUGCCAUCCUGUGGCUGGAUCCAUCCAGAGGCCGACCUUGUGGCAUCUCAGCCUUGCCCUGGACACCAUUGGACUUGCCUGGACCUGUGGCUUCCUGUCAGGGACCACUUUAAGUGAGGUCUUGCAUUCUCCCCAAACCCCAUCUGCUACACAGCCAACAAAAUCGGUAGUUUUCAUGAUUGUCUGUAAUGUUUCCUGAUUUUAAUUUCUAAUUGUUGCUUUAUUCAGAAUAAAUCACUCGAG
Long non-coding RNA from Cavia porcellus (domestic guinea pig), 2916 nucleotides. Lineage: Eukaryota; Metazoa; Chordata; Mammalia; Rodentia; Caviidae. The record is from Ensembl.